CCUACGGGUGGCAGCAGUGAGGAAUAUUGGUCAAUGGACGAGAGUCUGAAGCAGCCAAGUAGCGUGAAGGAUGACUGCCCUAUGGGUUGUAAACUUCUUUUAUAUGGGAAUAAAACGUUCCACGUGUGGGAUUUUGUAUGUACCAUAUGAAUAAGGAUCGGCUAACUCCGGGCCAGCAGCCGCGGUAAUACGGAGGAUCCGAGCGUUAUCCGGAUUUAUUGGGUUUAAAGGGAGCGUAGGUGGAUUGUUAAGUCAGUUGUGAAAGUUUGCGGCUCAACCGUAAAAUUGCAGUUGAAACUGGCAGUCUUGAGUACAGUAGAGGUGGGCGGAAUUCGUGGUGUAGCGGUGAAAUGCGUAGAUAUCACGAAGAACUCCGAUGGCGAAGGCAGUUCACUGGACUGAAACUGACACUGAGGCUCGAAAGUGUGGGGAUCAAACAGGAUUAGAUACCCCAGUAGUC
RNAcentral lists this ribosomal RNA (460 nucleotides) under uncultured bacterium. RNAcentral's name for it is "partial 16S ribosomal RNA". It matches the Rfam family "Bacterial small subunit ribosomal RNA", at positions 338 to 795 of the family's 1533-position model. The record is from RNAcentral.